UCCAGGAGGAGAUUACCCAGCUCGUCAUGCUAGAGCACUUUUUCAAUGUGCUCCCCAACGAGAAGGCGCCGACGCAUUCGUAUGUCAAUCCAUAUCAACUUUCGAUGCCAUUGACUGCACCUACCAAGGUGACCACGUGUAACAGGGAAUCAGGGUUCCAUUCCAUACAGGGACUCUGACAAACGGCUACCAUAUGCAUGGAAGGCAGCAUGUGCGCAAAUGACCCACUCCCGACGCUGGAAGGUAGUGACGACAAAUAACAAUACAGGACUCUUUAGAGGCCCUGUAAUUGUAAUGAGUCCACUUAAAAUCCUUUAACUCUGAUCAAUUGGAGGGAAGUCUGGUGCAGAGCCACUGACCCGUGCAUGCUGCAGCUGAAACUCCACUA
Molecule: ribosomal RNA, 388 nt
Filed under: Pelobates cultripes (western spadefoot toad)
Lineage: Eukaryota; Metazoa; Chordata; Amphibia; Anura; Pelobatidae
Rfam family: Eukaryotic small subunit ribosomal RNA
Source: RNAcentral